UACGUAGGUGGCCAGCGUUGUCCGGAUUUACUGGGCGUAAAGAGCGCGCAGGCGGUCGUUCAAGUCGCGUGUGAAAGCCCCCGGCUCAACUGGGGAGGGUCACGCGAUACUGAUCGACUCGAAGGCAGGAGAGGGUAGUGGAAUUCCCGGUGUAGUGGUGAAAUGCGUAGAUAUCGGGAGGAACACCAGUGGCGAAGGCGACUACCUGGCCUGUUUCUUGACGCUGAGGCGCGAAAGCUAGGGGAGCAAACGGG
RNAcentral lists this ribosomal RNA (254 nucleotides) under uncultured bacterium. RNAcentral's name for it is "partial 16S ribosomal RNA". It matches the Rfam family "Bacterial small subunit ribosomal RNA", at positions 524 to 776 of the family's 1533-position model. The record is from RNAcentral.